CUCACCGCCAGAUGAAUGCCA
RNAcentral lists this microRNA (21 nucleotides) under Ornithorhynchus anatinus (platypus). RNAcentral describes it as "oan-miR-181c-3p". Its record names the gene oan-miR-181c-3p. Lineage: Eukaryota; Metazoa; Chordata; Mammalia; Monotremata; Ornithorhynchidae. The record is from miRBase by way of RNAcentral.